RNAcentral lists this ribosomal RNA (453 nucleotides) under uncultured bacterium. RNAcentral describes it as "partial 16S ribosomal RNA". It matches the Rfam family "Bacterial small subunit ribosomal RNA", at positions 28 to 523 of the family's 1533-position model. The record is from RNAcentral.
GAUGAACGCUGGCGGCGUGCCUAAUACAUGCAAGUCGAACGAUCCGCCUCGGCGGAUAGUGGCGGACGGGUGAGUAACACGUUGGUGCCUGCCCUCCAGUGGGGACUAACUGGCCGAAAGGUCGGCUAAUACCGCAUGUGACCGCAAGGUUAAAGUCGUAAGACGAUUGAGGAGGGGCCUGCGUCCCAUUAGCUAGUUGGUAGGGUAACUGCCUACCAAGGCGACGAUGGGUAGCUGGAUCGAGAGGUUGACCAGCCACACUGGGACUGAGAUACGGCCCAGACUCCUACGGGAGGCAGCAGUAAGGAAUCUUCCACAAUGGACGAAAGUCUGAUGGAGCAACGCCGCGUGCAGGAUGACGGUCUUCGGAUUGUAAACUGCUUUUAUACGGGAAGAUUAUGACGGUACCGUAUGAAUAAGCACCGGCUAACUACGUGCCAGCAGCCGCAGUAA